CUGCACAGCCCUGCCUGCUCCACACCCCAGAUCUGCGUCCUGGGCAAGUCUCCUACCCUGUCGGUGCCUUGGCUUCCUCUCACAGGGGACGGGGGAAUAGGCUGGGCAGCGCUCAGCAAAGGCUAGCGGUGAAGAGGACGGGAGGAAUAAGGAGGAGACUGACAUGAUGAGAGAUGGCAGUGACAGAGCGCUGAAGGAGAAGGGGCGGGCGGUCCAGAAGGUGACAAGGGAGACGUGCCCUGGGGCUCCCACUCGACUGUGACCUGGCCUCACGUGCGGCAGUGGCCCGUCCUGCGUCCUCUUCACCCCCAUGUCCAGCAUCUUCUUGCCAGCCCAGCCAGACGAGAGCUGGUAUUGCAGACUGGAGCCUGGGUGCAAAUCUGGGCAGUGAAUGAAUGGGCUACUCUCCCCUCGGAGUGCGAGCCAGAGUGGGGAUGAAGAAGACCUGGCGACCUUGUGCAGACCCAUUGUCCAGAUGAGGCAGAGAGCACUGGCUGCUCCUGUGCUCUCUUUACAGGCAAGCAAACCCAAGCACACAGGGAACCUGGCCCAGGCUGCGUAAUGGUAAGGGGCCCACAGGAACUCAACCGGGGAACCCUGGCUCCCAAAGAAGAGGCAGGCUUUUCUCUAACACCUGGAAGGACAGAAGAGGAAAAAAAAGCCAUCACUACUGAGCAUCUACUGUGUGCACAAGGCGGUGCACAGGACACUCACUGUGGCUCUGGACUCUACAUGAGAGUUCCAGGUGAUUUCAACAAAAGCCACACAAGUCUAUGGAGUGCUGCUUCGCUUUCUUGUCACAGCCCAGGGACACAUGUACCAGCAGUGGGCCUGGG
RNAcentral lists this long non-coding RNA (836 nucleotides) under Heterocephalus glaber (naked mole-rat). RNAcentral describes it as "lncRNA (ENSHGLG00000041969.1)". Lineage: Eukaryota; Metazoa; Chordata; Mammalia; Rodentia; Bathyergidae. The record is from RNAcentral.